Molecule: ribosomal RNA, 531 nt
Filed under: uncultured fungus
Lineage: Eukaryota; Fungi
Description: SSU rRNA
Rfam family: Eukaryotic small subunit ribosomal RNA
Source: RNAcentral
GUUAUCGCAUAUUUGAUAGUACCUACUACAUGGAUAACCGUGGUAAUUCUAGAGCUAAUACAUGCUUAAAAUCCCGACUUCGGAAGGGAUGUAUUUAUUAGAUUAAAAACCAAUGCCCUUCGGGGCUCACUGGUGAUUCAUAAUAACUUCUCGAAUCGCAUGGCCUUGUGCCGGCGAUGGUUCACUCAAAUUUCUGCCCUAUCAACUUUCGACGGCUGGGUAUUGGCCAGCCGUGGUUACAACGGGUAACGGAGGGUUAGGGCUUGACCCCGGAGAAGGAGCCUGAGAAACGGCUACUACAUCCAAGGAAGGCAGCAGGCGCGCAAAUUACCCAAUCCCGAUACGGGGAGGUAGUGACAAUAAAUACUGAUACAGGGCUCUUUUGGGUCUUGUAAUUGGAAUGAGUACAAUUUAAAUCCCUUAACGAGGAACAAUUGGAGGGCAAGUCUGGUGCCAGCAGCCGCGGUAAUUCCAGCUCCAAUAGCGUAUAUCAAAGUUGUUGCAGUUAAAAAGCUCGUAGUUGAACCUUGG